This is a long non-coding RNA of Cebus imitator (Panamanian white-faced capuchin), 4113 nucleotides long. RefSeq lists it as uncharacterized. The record is from RefSeq and is a predicted model, not a curated record. The transcript has 3 exons. Lineage: Eukaryota; Metazoa; Chordata; Mammalia; Primates; Cebidae.
AAAAAAAAAAACACUUAAAACUUUUUUUAGGACUCCAGUGAGUUUGGGACUUCAGGAAAAAUCAACCCAGCACCAGCAGCCAUCAACCACCAUUCCAUCUCUUCACUUGAACAGCAUUAGUUAAGUCCAGAUGUGGGAACUCUCCUCUUGGAAGAAGUUCCUAAUUGUUUGUCUCAGACUGGUGUAAACAAGCUAGCCAGCCACCACCUUGCUAAAUCUAUAAGCUUUUUAGAAUCCAAUAUUCUGCCAGGAAUAUGCCUUGAUAGUUAUUCCUCAGCCCAUAUGUGGUGUUUUUUUUUUGUUUGUUUUUUAACAGAGUUAUGUAUGUCUGGGGUUUUUUAAAAAAAAAAAAACAAAACCCUUGCAUUCCAAAGGUCCAUACUGGUUACUGGUUUCAUUGCCACCACUUAGUGGAUAUUUAGUUUAGAACCAUUUUGUCUGCUCCCUCUGGAAGCCUUGGGCAGAGCUUACUUUGUAAUUGUUGGAGAAUAACUGCUGAAUUUUUAGCUGUUUUGAGUUGAUUAGCACCACUGCACCACAACUCAAUAUGAAAAAAACUAUUUAACUUAUUUAUUAUCUUGUGAAAAGUAUACAUUGAAAAUUUUGUUCAUACUGUAUUUAUCAAGUAUGAUGAAAAGCAAUAGAUAUAUAUUCUUUUAUUAUGUUAAAUUAUGAUUGCCAUUAUUAAUCGGCAAAAUGUGGAGUGUAUGUUCUUUUCACAGUAAUAUAUGCCUUUUGUAACUUCACUUGGUUAUUUUAUUGUAAAUGAGUACAAAAUUCUUAAUUUAAGAGAUUGUAUGUAAUAUUUAUUUCAUUAAUUUCUUUUCUUGUUUACGUAAAUUUUGAAAGAUUGCAUGAUUUCUUGACAGAAAUCUAUCUUGAUGCUGUGGAAGUAGUUUGAGGAACAUCCUAUGAGUUUUCUUAGAAUGUAUAAAGGUUGUAGCCCAUCCAACUUUAAAGGAAAAAGUGACCGCAUACUUUGCAAUCAGGCUGAGAUGUGGCACACUUUUCUAAUUCCAACUUUAUAAACUAGCAAAAAAAGUGUUUGCUUAUUCCACCAGUUCUACUGUGACAUACUCGAGAAUAAAGACAUGUAGCAAUAAUGGGGAGUCGGGGGGGAGUCUCACAGUGCCUUGGAAGGGCCCGAACUUGCCUUAAAUCUUCCUCAACCAAAUAAGUAUUUUAUUAGUGCUUUGAGAGAAUCUGAAUGUAGGAUGGGUUCAACUGCACAAAAGGAAUAGAUUUUUACCACUUUUUUUAUAUAGAUAUAAAGUGAAGCGACCGCCUCUUAGUGCUGAAGUAUGUAGUACAUGAAUAUGCCUUGUUUAAUUACAGAAAAUUCCAAAACUUGUACUAUUUUUUUUUUUUUCAUGUAGAAAGGCAGGAAUGUUUCCUAAGCUUUCCUGGACAGCAGAUGAAUGAGCGGUAGCUUUAGUUUGUACGUAGGUACAGUUGGAGCACUAUAUGUACUCUCUGGACUACUUUGACAGAAGUAGGUUUUUGAAUGUACAAGAUAAGUCAACUUGAGUUGUAAUAUAUUUUGGGGAAUCAGUUCACUACAAAUUGUGACUGUAAACAUUGUACUGUAAAUGUUUUGUAGUUUUCCCCCAAUAAAACUUUUGGGAAAAAAGGUAUUAACGUGUAAGAGCUUUUCUUUUUAAACAGGAAUGUCUGGCUUUCUAGCUCCCCCCAGCUAACCACAGCAGGCAUUCACUCCCAGGUCUUGGGAUGAUGGGGGUUGGAGAGCUGGCAGAGCCAGAGUUCAGAAGAGCCUGCGUCCUCUCAUGCCUGUAUAUAUUUUAUAAGUAAGUUCUAACAGAAAGAAAGUAAUUAUUGGGACUGUCAAGGGCAUUAGUUAGCUGUUCGCUUUGGUAAUAAGAUGCAUCCCAGAGUUGGCUGGCUGGUGGCAGGGCCUGGCCCAGAGGCCUGAAGGGGUGUGGCCUGCCUGAGAGUCACCGAGUGGAUCACGUGGCUGUGGUUGCAGCUGAAGGUCCGAUUUUUCGCUGGGAAACAGAACUGCUUGGGUGGGGAAGGGGAGGAGGAUCUUUUCUGCAGCCGGUGGCCUGCCAGGCCUGAGUGCUGAGCUGGAGGUGGAGAGUGAGGCCAGGCUUUUUCUGGGUCGGAGAACUGGAGUUUUGCCUGGAUUUUGGAAAGCCUGGAAAGCAAACUGGCUCAGAGAGGCUGAAUAGCCUGCUUCAGAUGACACAGCUUGUGGGUGGCCGAGCUGGCCUUCCAACCCAGAUUUCUGUCAUGAGGUUCCUCCAGCCGACAGGGGCCUCGGUGAGGAACUUGUCACAGCUCCGGUGGCCCGGCCCCCUUCCUCCUUCCCGGCCCCACAGGCUGGGCACAACAACAGUCACCUGGUGAUCGCGGGCUGCCUUCAGUGAGUCACCCUGCCCACAGCGAGCCUGGCUGGACGAUGUUAUCAGCUCCCCGCUUACUUAAUUCCUCGGUUGACAUCACCACCGCCUCCGUCUUCUCCUUCUCGGCAUUGCAGCCUGCAGCCUGGCAUAUCCUGGAAGGGAAGGCGGUGGAGGUCUCUUGCCAGAAACUAGCAGGGCAGGUAAAUUGGGACCUUCAGUUCCUUGGCCUUUAGCCCCAAGGGGCGUGGCCUGGCUUCUUGCUUUGCACGCAGGGGCCUCGGUUUACCUCCCAGGAGGUGCUCUUUGCUGUGAAGUCCUGGGAAGCACAUGACACCCCUGCUCUGUGCUCAUCCCCUCUCUCCUUGUGCAGAGGGGGUUUCCUGUCAGACAGAGGCCUUGAUGGAUGCCAAGCUGCUUGCCCUGCUAUGUGUCCAAGUGUAUCCUGGGGUCGUACCCUCAAGUCCAGCCUAAGUUCUGUGUAGCGUGGCCCCAGCUGCCUCUGAGCUUCUCAGAUGGGGCAGCUUUGCUGGCCUUGUGCUCACCUCUGUUACCAGGCCACCAUGCCCUGGAACUCAGCCCCUCACCUCCUGGGAGCCCAGGCCAGCCCUUCACCACCACAGCCUAGCAUUCCUUCUUGCGUCCCUUCACCUUGACCCCUCCCAGUGCCAACCUGCAGCCCCAGUGGCACAUGGGUAUGGUCAGUAUAGCAGUGACAGAAGUGACCGGAGACGCAUGUGGUUCCAUUUCAGCCUGGUCUCCGCCUCUGCAUCCCAGUGGGAUGGGGGAGGGAAUUUGCUUCUCUCCCCAAACUGUCCUGCUCUACCCCCUCCCCACCAUUGGAGCCGGGCAGCAGAUCGGGGAGGCUUAGAGGGCCCAGGGAGGGGCUGAGCGCGGGCGUCCUGGGCUGGACCUCCAUCUGUGGUGGGAAGCUACUCAAGCCUGGCAUUCGAGGGAGGCAGUGAGGGGAAGCAGGUGGGGCUGGGCAGGGACAAGGGGCAAUGCUCGGAGCUGCCAGACAGCUUCCCCUAUGACCCUCAGGGGAUACUUCCUCCAGUGGCACUGCCAGAGGCUGGGGAAAUAGUUGUCUAAACACCAGUCACCUUUACUCUAGUUAUUUGACCAAAACAAAUUGUUCCUUAGAAGGAAAAAGAAAAAAACAAAACCCCAAAACCCCACCAUUGAUGUCGUGCUGAUCACCCAGUGGGCUGAUAAGUCCUGGUGCAGAAAGCACCCCUGGGCAGGGCGAGUACCCCUACCUCAUUCUUCCCAUGGGAAGGGCAUCAGAGGUCGGCCCCGCUAAUCUGCACACAGAUGCUGCUGCUGCCUCCACAUCCUGCAAUGCUGCAGAAUGCUGUUCUAACAUUCUGGAGAGUGGGGGGCCAGAGAGAGGUCAGAACAACCCUGGGCUCAUCCCCACACACGCCACUCUCACUGGACAGUUUCCUCGCCUGUUGUGUAGAGGAGCUAUUGAGAUAUUAAGUGUGGAAGUGUACUGAGAGGCUGGGGCCCUGUAGAGAAGGGAAAGGGGAGAGGGAGAGUUGCAGAAAAGAGACCCCACCUCAAUGAUUUCAGGUCAGUCGAUGACAUCUGGCCUCAGAUCUGUUAGGCUCCCUUUAAGUCCUGAGUUGAGUUCUUAUUCCUGCUUCUAGCGAAGUGCACGCCUUGACAGUGAUUGGCACCGUUGCUGAACUUGGCUUGUGGUCUGCUCAGACCCUCGGCUCUUUCUGGAAUAAAACCUGACCAGAUUUAA